CCUACGGGCGGCUGCAGUGGGGAAUAUUGGACAAUGGGGGGAACCCUGAUCCAGCCAUGCCGCGUGUGUGAAGAAGGCCCUCGGGUUGUAAAGCACUUUCAGUGAGGAAGAACGCCUGGUGGUUAAUACCCAUCAGGAAAGACAUCACUCACAGAAGAAGCACCGGCUAACUCCGUGCCAGCAGCCGCGGUAAUACGGAGGGUGCGAGCGUUAAUCGGAAUUACUGGGCGUAAAGCGCGCGUAGGUGGCUUGAUAAGCCGGUUGUGAAAGCCCCUGGCUCAACCUGGGAACGGCAUCCGGAACUGUCAAGCUAGAGUGCAGGAGAGGAAGGUAGAAUUCCCGGUGUAGCGGUGAAAUGCGUAGAGAUCGGGAGGAAUACCAGUGGCGAAGGCGGCCUUCUGGACUGACACUGACACUGAGGUGCGAAAGCGUGGGUAGCAAACAGGAUUAGAUACCCUUGUAGUC
RNAcentral lists this ribosomal RNA (465 nucleotides) under Vreelandella stevensii. RNAcentral's name for it is "partial 16S ribosomal RNA". It matches the Rfam family "Bacterial small subunit ribosomal RNA", at positions 338 to 795 of the family's 1533-position model. The record is from RNAcentral. Lineage: Bacteria; Pseudomonadati; Pseudomonadota; Gammaproteobacteria; Oceanospirillales; Halomonadaceae.